This 447-nucleotide ribosomal RNA is filed under the name uncultured bacterium. RNAcentral's name for it is "bacterial SSU rRNA". It matches the Rfam family "Bacterial small subunit ribosomal RNA", at positions 355 to 825 of the family's 1533-position model. The record is from RNAcentral.
UGGGGAAUAUUGGACAAUGGGCGAAAGCCUGAUCCAGCAAUGCCGCGUGAGUGAUGAAGGCCUUAGGGUUGUAAAGCUCUUUUACCAGGGAUGAUAAUGACAGUACCUGGAGAAUAAGCUCCGGCUAACUCCGUGCCAGCAGCCGCGGUAAUACGGAGGGAGCUAGCGUUGUUCGGAAUUACUGGGCGUAAAGCGUACGUAGGCGGUGACUCAAGUCAGAGGUGAAAGCCUGGAGCUCAACUCCAGAACUGCCUUUGAAACUAGGUCGCUAGAAUCACGGAGAGGUGAGUGGAAUUCCGAGUGUAGAGGUGAAAUUCGUAGAUAUUCGGAAGAACACCAGUGGCGAAGGCGGCUCACUGGACGUGUAUUGACGCUGAGGUACGAAAGCGUGGGGAGCAAACAGGAUUAGAUACCCAUGUAGUCCCUGAGCGGGCUGGCAAGGCGCAU